Molecule: ribosomal RNA, 468 nt
Filed under: uncultured bacterium
Lineage: Bacteria
Description: partial 16S ribosomal RNA
Rfam family: Bacterial small subunit ribosomal RNA
Source: RNAcentral
GACGAACGCUGGCGGCGUGCUUAACACAUGCAAGUCGAACGGAAAGGCCCUGCUUUUGUGGGGUGCUCGAGUGGCGAACGGGUGAGUAACACGUGAGUAACCUGCCCUUGACUUUGGGAUAACUUCAGGAAACUGGGGCUAAUACCGGAUAGGAGCUCCUGCUGCAUGGUGGGGGUUGGAAAGUUUCGGCGGUUGGGGAUGGACUCGCGGCUUAUCAGCUUGUUGGUGGGGUAGUGGCUUACCAAGGCUUUGACGGGUAGCCGGCCUGAGAGGGUGACCGGCCACAUUGGGACUGAGAUACGGCCCAGACUCCUACGGGGGGCAGCAGUGGGGAAUAUUGCACAAUGGGCGGAAGCCUGAUGCAGCAACGCCGCGUGCGGGAUGACGGCCUUCGGGUUGUAAACCGCUUUCGCCUGUGACGAAGCGUGAGUGACGGUAAUGGGUAGAGAAGCACCGGCUAACUACGUG